This 64-nucleotide transfer RNA is filed under the name Carcinus maenas (green crab). RNAcentral's name for it is "tRNA-Ile". Lineage: Eukaryota; Metazoa; Arthropoda; Malacostraca; Decapoda; Carcinidae. The record is from RNAcentral.
AAUAUAGUGCCUGAUAAAAAGGGUAGCUUUGAUAGAGCUAAUCAUGUACUUUGUACCUAUAUUA